AAGGAAUAUUGGGCAAUGGACGCAAGUCUGACCCAGCCAUGCCGCGUGGAGGAUGAAGGUCCUCUGGAUUGUAAACUUCUUUUAUCUGGGAAGAAAAAAGGGAAUUCUUUCCCGUCUGACGGUACCAGAUGAAUAAGCACCGGCUAACUCCGUGCCAGCAGCCGCGGUAAUACGGAGGGUGCAAGCGUUAUCCGGAUUUACUGGGUUUAAAGGGUGCGUAGGUGGACUGGUAAGUCCGUGGUGAAAUCCCCGAGCUUAACUUGGGAACUGCCAUGGAUACUAUUGGUCUUGAAUUUUCUGGAGGUUAGCGGAAUAUGUCAUGUAGCGGUGAAAUGCUUAGAUAUGACAUAGAACACCGAUUGCGAAGGCAGCUGGCUACAGAAACAUUGACACUGAGGCACGAAAGCGUGGGGAUCAAAC
This 420-nucleotide ribosomal RNA is filed under the name uncultured bacterium. RNAcentral describes it as "bacterial SSU rRNA". It matches the Rfam family "Bacterial small subunit ribosomal RNA", at positions 356 to 773 of the family's 1533-position model. The record is from RNAcentral.